CCAGGGCUUCCCAGGUUGGGACACAGACAGAAUCCGCACCUGCUGAAUGGCGUGGGCGUGCCUUCCCACCCUCUCGGGCCCUGCUGGCCCAGAACCUCAUUCUCAGAUGCUUCGAUACCCCAAGGUUCCUGUUGGAAUGCAGAGGCUCAGGCCCCCCUGGAGGCUCUGCUGUCACCAACCUGGAAGAGCCCAGGGAUCUGCGUUCUGAACCAGCAGGAAGGGAGUCCUCAGCCACUUCGCCCAGCGCAGCCUCCCGGGCACAGACCUGGGCCAUCGGAGUGGAGCCCCCAUCCUUCUCGGAGCCCCUGCUUGCGCCCCAUGCCUCCCUCACCUGGAAAGAACUGGACAAGACACAGCCAGGAGAAUUGAGGUCUCUGCAAACUUCCCCAGGCCCAGGUCCGAUGCCACCUCGUCACCCAGGAUUUCCCCUCCUGUGAGUUCCCGACCGCAGAGGGUGGUGCUGUCCCCACCCACUGGAGCUCCUGGAGGCGCUCUCACGAGGAGGCCAGCACGGAGCUGGGGACACAGGGCAGACUGGCUCAGUGCACGCUUCUGUCCCCUCGGCGUGGGGGUGGGGCAGCGCCACCUUUGACCUCUGCUUUGAUCUCGGCUCAGGCUUGGGGACCCUUUCUCUAUUGAGAAGACCGUCUUUAAAGGCAUAAAAUCAACACUAAGCAUUAUGGAGGAAGCCAGUUACACUGAAAUAUGGUUGUCGUGAUACUGUUUUAAAUGCUGGGCCAUUAUGUGUGUUUUCUUAACGCCUUCAAAGCAAGAGCCAGACCUCGUAAACACUGUCAUUUUGAAAUACGAUGAACAAAAGCAUCAUUUCAAGAUACCCACAACAACUGCAAUAUGACACGAGCAUUUCUGCGUUUCUAUGUUUUCUACAAAAUCAUAGGCCGGCUAAAGCCACUGGGGCGCACUGCCUAAGAAGGAGCGGCCGUUUGUCACUGUAAUUAGAGGUUAGUGAAAGGAAAGGUAGGCAGGCUUUUCCUUCGUGUUCCAGUUCUUGAACAUUCAGGAUGCACCCAAGAGACUCCUGGGGUCCCAGGAGCCCUGGUUAAGAACUCCUGGCCAAGGGGCCGGCGUUGUGGCAUAGCCUGCGAAGCUGCCACCUGCAGUGCUAGCAUCCCAGGCGGGCAUCAGUUCGAGUCCUGGCUGCUCCAGUUCCAAUCCAGCUCCCUGCAGAUGUGCCUGGGAAAACAGCGGAAGACAGCCCAAGCACUUGGCGCCGGCACGCACGUGGGAGACCCGGAUGGAGUUUCAGGCUUCUGGUUUUGUCCUGGCCUCACCCCAGCACUGCAGUCAUUUGAGGAGUGAACCAGUAGAUGGAAGAUCU
Long non-coding RNA from Lepus europaeus (European hare), 1339 nucleotides. RefSeq lists it as uncharacterized. The transcript is spliced from 3 exons. Lineage: Eukaryota; Metazoa; Chordata; Mammalia; Lagomorpha; Leporidae. The record is from RefSeq and is a predicted model, not a curated record.